Molecule: ribosomal RNA, 302 nt
Filed under: uncultured bacterium
Lineage: Bacteria
Description: partial 16S ribosomal RNA
Rfam family: Bacterial small subunit ribosomal RNA
Source: RNAcentral
GCAGCCGCCGCGGGAAUACAGAGGGUGCGAGCGUUAAUCGGAUUUACUGGGCGUAAAGCGUGCGUAGGCGGCUUCUUAAGUCGGAUGUGAAAUCCCUGAGCUUAACUUAGGAAUUGCAUUCGAUACUGGGAAGCUAGAGUAUGGGAGAGGAUGGUAGAAUUCCAGGUGUAGCGGUGAAAUGCGUAGAGAUCUGGAGGAAUACCGAUGGCGAAGGCAGCCAUCUGGCCUAAUACUGACGCUGAGGUACGAAAGCAUGGGGAGCAAACAGGAUUAGAUACCCGAGUAGUCCCUGUCUCUUAUAC